RNAcentral lists this ribosomal RNA (831 nucleotides) under Bacillus sp. (in: firmicutes). RNAcentral describes it as "bacterial SSU rRNA". It matches the Rfam family "Bacterial small subunit ribosomal RNA", at positions 44 to 856 of the family's 1533-position model. The record is from RNAcentral. Lineage: Bacteria; Bacillati; Bacillota; Bacilli; Caryophanales; Bacillaceae.
GUGCCUAAUACAUGCAAGUCGAGCGGACAGAAGGGAGCUUGCUCCCGGAUGUUAGCGGCGGACGGGUGAGUAACACGUGGGUAACCUGCCUGUAAGACUGGGAUAACUCCGGGAAACCCGGAGCUAAUACCGGAUAGUUCCUUGAACCGCAUGGUUCAAGGAUGAAAGACGGUUUCGGCUGUCACUUACAGAUGGACCCGCGGCGCAUUAGCUAGUUGGUGGGGUAAUGGCUCACCAAGGCGACGAUGCGUAGCCGACCUGAGAGGGUGAUCGGCCACACUGGGACUGAGACACGGCCCAGACUCCUACGGGAGGCAGCAGUAGGGAAUCUUCCGCAAUGGACGAAAGUCUGACGGAGCAACGCCGCGUGAGUGAUGAAGGUUUUCGGAUCGUAAAGCUCUGUUGUUAGGGAAGAACAAGUGCGAGAGUAACUGCUCGCACCUUGACGGUACCUAACCAGAAAGCCACGGCUAACUACGUGCCAGCAGCCGCGGUAAUACGUAGGUGGCAAGCGUUGUCCGGAAUUAUUGGGCGUAAAGGGCUCGCAGGCGGUUUCUUAAGUCUGAUGUGAAAGCCCCCGGCUCAACCGGGGAGGGUCAUUGGAAACUGGGAAACUUGAGUGCAGAAGAGGAGAGUGGAAUUCCACGUGUAGCGGUGAAAUGCGUAGAGAUGUGGAGGAACACCAGUGGCGAAGGCGACUCUCUGGUCUGUAACUGACGCUGAGGAGCGAAAGCGUGGGGAGCGAACAGGAUUAGAUACCCUGGUAGUCCACGCCGUAAACGAUGAGUGCUAAGUGUUAGGGGGUUUCCGCCCCUUAGUGCUGCAGCUAAC